RNAcentral lists this ribosomal RNA (445 nucleotides) under uncultured bacterium. Its description in RNAcentral is "partial 16S ribosomal RNA". It matches the Rfam family "Bacterial small subunit ribosomal RNA", at positions 354 to 796 of the family's 1533-position model. The record is from RNAcentral.
GUGAGGAAUAUUGGUCAAUGGUCGGAAGACUGAACCAGCCAUGCCGCGUGCAGGAAGACGGUCCUAUGGAUUGUAAACUGCUUUUAUUCGGGGAUAAACCUCCUUACGUGUAGGGAGCUGAAGGUACCGAAAGAAUAAGCACCGGCUAACUCCGUGCCAGCAGCCGCGGUAAUACGUAGGGUGCAAGCGUUAUUCGGAAUCCUUUGGUUUAAAGGGUCCGCAGGCGGGAUUGUAAGUCAGUAGUGAAAUCCGGCAGCUCAACUGUCGCAAUGACAUUGAUACUGCAGUCCUUGAAUUCGAUUGGAGUGGGCGGAAUAUGUCAUGUAGCGGUGAAAUGCUUAGAUAUGACAUAGAACACCGAUAGCGAAGGCAGCUCACUAAGUCUAAAUUGACGCUCAUGGACGAAAGCGCGGGUAGCAAACAGGAUUAGAAACCCUUGUAGUCC